RNAcentral lists this long non-coding RNA (285 nucleotides) under Zalophus californianus (California sea lion). RNAcentral's name for it is "lncRNA (ENSZCAG00015000059.1)". Lineage: Eukaryota; Metazoa; Chordata; Mammalia; Carnivora; Otariidae. The record is from RNAcentral.
GCGGGGCGAGUGGGGGGCCUAGGCGGUGUCUCUCCCCGCCCCCCUCUGUCCCUGGUCCCGAGCCCCGGGACACAGUCCCAGCCCGGCGGGCAGCCCCAGCCCCUGCCGAUGCCGUCCCGGGGACGCAGACGCCAGAGCCCCUCCGGCCAGGGCAGGGACCUGGGCCGGCCCAGCCAGCGCUGCCUCUGGGCUUCCAGGGUGCCUGACAACUGACCAACCAGCUGGGGAUCACUGUCGUGCAUUCAGGCUCUGGAGCUAAAGACCCUUGGAUUCGUGGUCCCUGCU